UUGGCGGACGGGUGAGUAACACGUGAGCAACCUGCCUUCGAGAGGGGAAUAACGGCUGGAAACGGUCGCUAAUACCGCAUAACAUACAGGAGGGACAUCCCUUUUGUAUCAAAGAUUUAUCGCUCGAAGAUGGGCUCGCGUCCGAUUAGGUAGUUGGUGAGGUAAUGGCCCACCAAGCCGACGAUCGGUAGCCGGACUGAGAGGUUGAACGGCCACAUUGGGACUGAGACACGGCCCAGACUCCUACGGGAGGCAGCAG
Molecule: ribosomal RNA, 259 nt
Filed under: uncultured bacterium
Lineage: Bacteria
Description: partial 16S ribosomal RNA
Rfam family: Bacterial small subunit ribosomal RNA
Source: RNAcentral